AGAGUUUGAUCCUGGCUCAGGACGAACGCUGGCGGCGUGCUUAACACAUGCAAGUCGAACGGGGCGCUUCGGUGCCUAGUGGCGAACGGGUGAGUAACACGUGAGCAACCUGCCUCUGGCUCUGGGAUAGCCUCCGGAAACGGGGAUUAAUACCGGAUAUGAUCUUGGCCUGCAUGGGCUGGGGUGGAAAGUUUUUCGGC
Molecule: ribosomal RNA, 200 nt
Filed under: uncultured bacterium
Lineage: Bacteria
Description: partial 16S ribosomal RNA
Rfam family: Bacterial small subunit ribosomal RNA
Source: RNAcentral